This 286-nucleotide ribosomal RNA is filed under the name Ornithodoros coriaceus. Its description in RNAcentral is "partial 16S ribosomal RNA". The stretch from base 139 to 286 matches the Rfam family "Bacterial large subunit ribosomal RNA", at positions 2473 to 2620 of the family's 2925-position model. The record is from RNAcentral. Lineage: Eukaryota; Metazoa; Arthropoda; Arachnida; Ixodida; Argasidae.
UAAUUUAUAUUUUAAUUAAGAUUAUUAGAAAUUUAUUUUUUAGUUAUGAUUGGGGUGAUUUUUAAAGAUUAUUAAUCUUUAAAAUUUUUUAAUAAAAAAGUUCCAUUAGUAGUGAUUUUUUGAUAAAAAUACUCUAGGGAUAACAGCGUUAUUAUUUUGGAUAGUUCAUAUAGAUAAAAUAGUUUGCGACCUCGAUGUUGGAUUAGGAUUCUUUUAUGAUGAAGAAGUUAUAAGGGAGAAGUUUGCUCAACUUUUAAAGUCCUACUUGAUCUGAGUUCAGACCGGG